GAUGUUGCCUGAAAAGUUUUGCAUGGAAUAAUGGAAUAGGACUUCGGUUCUAUUUCGUUGGUUUUCGGAUCCGAAGUAAUGAUCAAAAGAGACAGGCGGGGACGUUUGUAUGGCUGCGCUAGAGGUGAAAUUCAUGGACCGUAGCCAGACAAACUAAAGCGAAAGCAUUCGUCAAGCAUGUUUUCAUUGGCCAUGAGCGAAAGUCAGAGGCUCGAAGACGAUCAGAUACCGUCCUAGUUCUGACCAUAAACGAUGCCAACUGACGAUCCGUGGCGGUAGUUUACAAACCUUCCCCACGGGCAGUCCCCGGGAAACCUUUAAGUCUUUGGGUUCCGGGGGAAGUAUGGUUGCAAAGCUGAAACUUAAAGGAAUUGACGGAAGGGCACCACCAGGAGUGGAGCCUGCGGCUUAAUUUGACUCAACACGGGAAAACUCACCCGGGCCGGACACUAUGAGGAUUGACAGAUUGAUAGC
Molecule: ribosomal RNA, 474 nt
Filed under: Vigisolepis spinulosa
Lineage: Eukaryota; Metazoa; Platyhelminthes; Cestoda; Cyclophyllidea; Hymenolepididae
Description: SSU rRNA
Rfam family: Eukaryotic small subunit ribosomal RNA
Source: RNAcentral